UCUAGUUUGAUCCUGGCUCAGUGCGGCUGGAUAGCUUGCUCUUAUGAAGAUCGCGGCGGACGGGUGAGUUACACGUGGGUAACCUGCCCUUAAGACUGGGAUAACUCCGGGAAACCGGGGCUAAUACCGGAUAACAUUUUGAACCGCAUGGUUCGAAAUUGAAAGGCGGCUUCGGCUGUCACUUAUGGAUGGACCCGCGUCGCAUUAGCUAGUUGGAGAGGUAACGGCUCACCAAGGCAACGAUGCGUAGCCGACCUGAGAGGGUGAUCGGCCACACUGGGACUGAGACACGGCCCAGACUCCUACGGGAGCCAGCAGUAGGGAAACUUCCGCAAUGGACGAAAGUCUGACGGAGCAACGCCGCGUGAGUGAUGAAGGCUUUCGGGUCGUAAAACUCUGUUGUUAGGGAAGAACAAGUGCUAGUUGAAUAAGCUGGCACCUUGACGGUACCUAACCAGAA
Molecule: ribosomal RNA, 460 nt
Filed under: Bacillus cereus
Lineage: Bacteria; Bacillati; Bacillota; Bacilli; Caryophanales; Bacillaceae
Description: bacterial SSU rRNA
Rfam family: Bacterial small subunit ribosomal RNA
Source: RNAcentral